UGGUUUCUCGUCUACCUACUACUAAUUUGUCUCUACUCUCUCCGUAAAGUAGUUGAACAUGCUUACUUGCUUUCACAAAAGCUCAACUAAAGAAUAUUUCAGGAUAACUGGAUUACAUUACUGCAGUUCUUAGUGUUUCCACCAUGAGACUGAAUGACCAGGACCAGGCAAGGAAUGUGAAAGUUGGUGUGCCACACCUGUUUGCACUUUGGACAAAUGUGUGUAUAUAUAUAUGUGUGUAAUACUGUCUGUCCUGUGGCUUUUUAUGUAUCCACUAUCCAUUGUCAUAGUGCAUUCUCAAUCUUCCUUUUUGUUCAUUCGCUAGGUCGGAGUACUAUAGAGAUAUUUACCUGCCAUGAUAGGGACAUAGUGGAGCCUCAUUGUGAUAAGUUUUUUCUUUUGACUUUUUGGUUUUACAGAGAUUAGAAGCAGCAAUACAACAGCAGCUUCUUAGUCUACAGAAUAGUCUCUGGUUGGUUCAGCUAAUUUGACAAGGAUGCCAAAUGACCUUGGUUUAUUACUUUGUGGUGAAGCUCUGUGACAAUACAAGUUUCUGCCUUGGAUAGAUUAAUACUUUCAACACAUGCAAAUGUACAAGUGGACGAAUAGUAUUUGCUUGUGAACUUUCCAGUCUAUAAUCAUUGUAACUUUUAAGCAGAUUAAUAUGUUCCCUUUUAU
RNAcentral lists this long non-coding RNA (678 nucleotides) under Nicotiana tabacum (common tobacco). RNAcentral's name for it is "long non-coding RNA (NTAB_LNC015108)". The record is from RNAcentral. Lineage: Eukaryota; Viridiplantae; Streptophyta; Magnoliopsida; Solanales; Solanaceae.